Molecule: long non-coding RNA, 254 nt
Organism: Pogoniulus pusillus (Red-fronted tinkerbird)
Lineage: Eukaryota; Metazoa; Chordata; Aves; Piciformes; Lybiidae
Exons: 3
Source: RefSeq, a predicted model, not a curated record
CAUGCUAUAAAACUACUUUACCUUUUCAGAAUGAAGAUAGUAGAAGUAUAGUUGCAUGAAAAGAGUUAUCCAGAUUUUUGCAGGUAAGAUGCAACGGAACUAAGAGGAUAUAAAAUAUCACAGGGCAGCAUGGUGUUCACUCAUCCUUUCUGCCCAGAAGGAACGGAGAAAAUACUGGAAAACAACAUGAGGAAUUUGUCAAGUAAUAUGUGCAUCUCUCCCUUUCUGAUACAUUCAGACUUUCAUCAUUGUUU